GCUCUUUAUGCCAUAAGCACCUUGAGGGGUUGGACAUUUUCAUUUACAGAGGAGAGAAGGCAUUUUGUAGCUCAGAGUGCCGUUUGAAACAAAUCUCAAUCGAUGAACAUAAAGAGAAGUGUGGUUCUUUAGCCAUGAAAUCGCCCGAGUUCUCUGCCUCUCCUCGCUCUGGAACAAUGCAGUUUUCCGGUGGUGUUGCUGUGGCAUAAGUAAGUUGGUGAUACAGGUCUGGGAAGCUAACUCAAUGCAUAAAAAGAUCUUAAUAUGUUCAAUUUUGAGUAAUGGAAUGUUGUUCUGCCUGCCAAAGGUUCUGAAGUUUUGUUAGAACCUAUUAAGAGGGAGAGAGUUUCGUAGUUUGGUUAAACCCGCCGAGAAUAGACAU
This 382-nucleotide unclassified non-coding RNA is filed under the name Hevea brasiliensis (rubber tree). The record is from RNAcentral. Lineage: Eukaryota; Viridiplantae; Streptophyta; Magnoliopsida; Malpighiales; Euphorbiaceae.